AUAUGUCACGACCGUUUGGUUAAC
Molecule: non-coding RNA, 24 nt
Filed under: Arabidopsis thaliana (thale cress)
Lineage: Eukaryota; Viridiplantae; Streptophyta; Magnoliopsida; Brassicales; Brassicaceae
Source: RNAcentral